This 69-nucleotide transfer RNA is filed under the name Ovis aries (sheep). It matches the Rfam family "tRNA". From Rfam's summary of the family: Transfer RNA (tRNA) molecules are approximately 80 nucleotides in length. Their secondary structure includes four short double-helical elements and three loops (D, anti-codon, and T loops). Lineage: Eukaryota; Metazoa; Chordata; Mammalia; Artiodactyla; Bovidae. The record is from Rfam by way of RNAcentral.
CCUGGUGGCUCAGAGGUUCAGGUGUCUGCCUGAAAUGCAGGAGACCCAGGUUCAAUCCCUGGGUCAGGA